Molecule: long non-coding RNA, 201 nt
Organism: Eubalaena glacialis (North Atlantic right whale)
Lineage: Eukaryota; Metazoa; Chordata; Mammalia; Artiodactyla; Balaenidae
Exons: 3
Source: RefSeq, a predicted model, not a curated record
CCUUCCUGACACCUGGCCCUGCCACCGCAGCCGGGGACUGCGCUCCGCUCCCCAGCUUCAAAGCUCCCAAGCCGACCGGCGCCUGGUCCUGCUGCAGCUGCCACCACUACGCGGGAGACUCCCGGAGGAGUUAUAAGAUGAAUUUGAGAAAGGAUGGUGAAAAAAAUAGGAAUCAAAUGGAAAACUUCUCAGAGACUACGU